GCGAACAAGUACCGUGAGGGAAAGGUGAAAAGCACCCCGAUGAGGGGAGUGAAACAGUACCUGAAACCGAAUGCUUACAAUCAGUUGGAGGGUCCUUGAGGCCUGACAGCGUACCUCUUGUAUAAUGGGUCAGUGACUUAAUCUAUCAAGCGAGCUUAAGCCGUUAGGUGUAGGCGCAGCGAAAGCGAGUCUGAACAGGGCGACUGAGUUUGAUGGAUUAGACCCGAAACCCGGCGAUCUAGGCAUGACCAGGCUGAAGGUGCGGUAACACGCACUGGAGGGCCGAACCGUUUAAUGUUGAAAAAUUAUCGGAUGAGUUGUGUUUAGGGGUGAAAGGCCAAUCAAGCCGGGAAAUAGCUGGUUCUCCGCGAAAUCUAUUUAGGUAGAGCGUCGGAUGUUUACCUGUGGGGGUAGAGCACUGGAUGGGCUAGGGGGUCGCGAGAUCUACCAAACCUAACCAAACUCCGAAUACCACAGAGUUAGUCCGGCAGACAGACGGCGGGUGCUAAGGUCCGUCGUCAAAAGGGAAACAGCCCUAACCUACAGCUAAGGUCCCCAAAUCGUAUCUAAGUGGGAAAGCAUGUGGGAUUUCCAAAACAACCAGGAGGUUGGCUUAGAAGCAGCCAUCCUUUAAAGAAAGCGUAACAGCUCACUGGUCUAAAUAAGAGAUCCUGCGGCGAAAAUGUAACGGGGCUCAAGAUACGUACCGAAGCUUAGGGUGUGCAUUUAUGCACGCGGUAGCGGAGCGUUCCGUAAGCCUGUGAAGCGGGAGGGUAACCGACCGUGGAGGUAUCGGAAGUGAGAAUGCUGACAUGAGUAGCGAUAAAGAGGGUGAGAUGCCCUCUCGCCGAAAUCCCAAGGGUUCCUGCUUAAAGCUAAUCUGAGCAGGGUGAGCCGGCCCCUAAGACGAGCCCGAAGGGGGUAGUCGAUGGGAACCACGUUAAUAUUCGUGGGCCUGGAGGUGUGUGACGGAUGGCGUAAGUUGUCAGGCCUUAUUGGAUUGGUCUGGCUUCGAAGUUGUCCCAGGAAAUAGCCCCUCCGUAUAGACCGUACCCUAAACCGACACAGGUGGGAUGGUAGAGUAUACCAAGGCGCUUGAGAGAAGUGUACUGAAGGAACUCGGCAAAUUACCUCCGUAACUUCGGGAGAAGGAGGCCCCACAUAUGGGCAACCAUGUGUGGGGGGCACAAGCCAGGGGGUAGCGACUGUUUAGCAAAAACACAGGACUCUGCUAAGUCGGCUUCAAGACGACGUAUAGGGUCUGACGCCUGCCCGGUGCUGGAAGGUUAAGAGGAGGAGUGCAAGCUCUGAAUUGAAGCCCCAGUAAACGGCGGCCGUAACUAUAACGGUCCUAAGGUAGCGAAAUUCCUUGUCGGGUAAGUUCCGACCCGCACGAAAGGCGUAACGAUUUGGGUACUGUCUCGGAGAGAGACUCGGCGAAAUAGACUUGUCUGUGAAGAUGCGGACUACCUGCACCUGGACAGAAAGACCCUAUGAAGCUUUACUGUAACUUGGAAUUGGGUUUGAGCUUUUCUUGCGCAGCAUAGGUGGGAAGCUAAGAAAAUAGGUUUGCGGAUCUAUUUGAGCUAUCAGUGAGAUACCACUCUGGAAAAGCUAGAAUUCUAACCUUGAAAGCCGUUAUCCGGCCAAGGGACAGUUUCAGGUGGGCAGUUUGACUGGGGCGGUCGCCUCCUAAAAAGUAACGGAGGCGUGCAAAGGUUCCCUCAGGCUGGUUGGAAAUCAGUCGUAGAGUGUAAAGGCAUAAGGGAGCUUGACUGCAAGACCUACAAGUCGAGCAGAGACGAAAGUCGGCCUUAGUGAUCCGACAGUGCCGAGUGGAAGGGCUGUCGCUCAACGGAUAAAAGUUA
This 1868-nucleotide ribosomal RNA is filed under the name Palmaria hecatensis. Its description in RNAcentral is "bacterial LSU rRNA". It matches the Rfam family "Bacterial large subunit ribosomal RNA", at positions 490 to 2465 of the family's 2925-position model. The record is from RNAcentral. Lineage: Eukaryota; Rhodophyta; Florideophyceae; Palmariales; Palmariaceae.